CCUACGGGAGGCAGCAAUUAGGAAUCUUGCACAAUGGGCGAAAGCCUGAUGCAGCGACGCCGCGUGAAGGAUGAAGGUUCUCGGAUCGUAAACUUCUUUUAAGUGGGAAGAAAUUUGACGGUACCACUUGAAUAAGCCCCGGCUAACUACGUGCCAGCAGCCGCGGUAAUACGUAGGGGGCGAGCGUUGUCCGAAGUUACUGGGCGUAAAGCGCGCGUAGGCGGUUUCUUAAGUCUGGGGUGAAAGGUUCAACGCUCAACGUGAACAGUGCCUUGGAUACUGGGAGACUUGAGUUAGGGAGAGGGUAGUAGAAUUCCUGGUGUAGCGGUGAAAUGCGUAGAUAUCAGGAGGAAUACCAAUGGCGAAGGCAGCUACCUGGCCUAUAACUGACGCUGAGGUGCGAAAGCGUGGGGAGCAAACGGGAUUAGAUACCCCCGGGUAGUCCACGCCCUAAACGAUGAGUGCUAGAUAGUAGUAGGUAGUACGUACCCGUCCUUCGUGUCGUCGCUACGCAUAAGCACUCCGCCGUCGGGUAGGUACGGCCGGCCGAGGUUAGUAACGUACGAAAGGAAAGUUAGACGGCGUGAAGACGUGCCGACGGCGACCGACGAGGGGAGGUUAGG
Molecule: ribosomal RNA, 623 nt
Filed under: uncultured bacterium
Lineage: Bacteria
Description: bacterial SSU rRNA
Rfam family: Bacterial small subunit ribosomal RNA (bases 1-527)
Source: RNAcentral